This 492-nucleotide ribosomal RNA is filed under the name uncultured bacterium. RNAcentral's name for it is "partial 16S ribosomal RNA". It matches the Rfam family "Bacterial small subunit ribosomal RNA", at positions 29 to 507 of the family's 1533-position model. The record is from RNAcentral.
AGUGAACGCUGGCGGUAGGCCUAACACAUGCAAGUCGAACGGCAGCACAGUAAGAGCUUGCUCUUACGGGUGGCGAGUGGCGGACGGGUGAGGAAUACAUCGGAAUCUACUUUUUCGUGGGGGUUAACGUAGGGAAACUUACGCUAAUACCGCAUACGACCUACGGGUGAAAGCAGGGGAUCUUCGGACCUUGCGCGAUUGAAUGAGCCGAUGUCGGAUUAGCUAGUUGGCGGGGUAAAGGCCCACCAAGGCGACGAUCCGUAGCUGGUCUGAGAGGAUGAUCAGCCACACUGGAACUGAGACACGGUCCAGGCUCCUACGGGAGGCAGCAGUGGGGAAUAUUGGACAAUGGGCGCAAGCCUGAUCCAGCCAUACCGCGUGGGUGAAGAAGGCCUUCGGGUUGUAAAGCCCUUUUGUUGGGAAAGAAAAGCAGCAGGUUAAUACCCCGCUGUUCUGACGGUACCCAAAGAAUAAGCACCGGCUAACUUCGUG